GGCCUGGUGGCUCAGUUGGUUAGAGCGCCGCCCUGUCACGGCGGAGGUCGUCGGUUCGAGUCCGAUCCGGGUCG
Molecule: transfer RNA, 74 nt
Filed under: Lachnospiraceae bacterium oral taxon 096
Lineage: Bacteria; Bacillati; Bacillota; Clostridia; Lachnospirales; Lachnospiraceae
Also listed under: 2 other names
Description: tRNA-Asp
Rfam family: tRNA
About the family: Transfer RNA (tRNA) molecules are approximately 80 nucleotides in length.
Source: RNAcentral